This 301-nucleotide ribosomal RNA is filed under the name uncultured bacterium. Its description in RNAcentral is "partial 16S ribosomal RNA". It matches the Rfam family "Bacterial small subunit ribosomal RNA", at positions 509 to 807 of the family's 1533-position model. The record is from RNAcentral.
CAGUAGCCACGGGAAUACGAAGGGUGCAAGCGUUACUCGGAAUUACUGGGCGUAAAGCGUGCGUAGGUGGUGGUUUAAGUCCGUUGUGGAAGCCCUGGGCUCAACCUGGGAAUUGCAGUGGAUACUGGGUCACUAGAGUGUGGUAGAGGAUAGUGGAAUUUCCGGUGUAGCAGUGAAAUGCGUAGAGAUCGGAAGGAACAUCUGUGGCGAAGGUGACUAUCUGGGCCAACACUGACACUGAGGCACGAAAGCGUGGGGAGCAAACAGGAUUAGAUACCCCUGUAGUCCCUGUCUCUUAUAC